This 30-nucleotide non-coding RNA is filed under the name Rattus norvegicus (Norway rat). Lineage: Eukaryota; Metazoa; Chordata; Mammalia; Rodentia; Muridae. The record is from RNAcentral.
UCGAAAUGCCGGUGCCUCUCAAGUCCAAGC